Non-coding RNA from Gadus macrocephalus (Pacific cod), 82 nucleotides. The record is from the annotation of a RefSeq genome assembly. NCBI's taxonomy places the organism in Eukaryota, Metazoa, Chordata, Actinopteri, Gadiformes, Gadidae.
GCUGUGAUGGCCGAGUGGUUAAGGCGUUGGACUUGAAUUUCAAUGGGUAAUACCCGCGCAGGUUAAAAUCCUGCUCACAGCG